This 72-nucleotide transfer RNA is filed under the name Bos taurus (domestic cattle). It matches the Rfam family "tRNA". Rfam says of the family: Transfer RNA (tRNA) molecules are approximately 80 nucleotides in length. Their secondary structure includes four short double-helical elements and three loops (D, anti-codon, and T loops). Further hydrogen bonds mediate the characteristic L-shaped molecular structure. tRNAs have two regions of fundamental functional importance: the anti-codon, which is responsible for specific mRNA codon recognition, and the 3' end, to which the tRNAs corresponding amino acid is attached (by aminoacyl-tRNA synthetases). tRNAs cope with the degeneracy of the genetic code in two manners: having more than one tRNA (with a specific anti-codon) for a particular amino acid; and 'wobble' base-pairing, i.e. permitting non-standard base-pairing at the 3rd anti-codon position. Lineage: Eukaryota; Metazoa; Chordata; Mammalia; Artiodactyla; Bovidae. RNAcentral also lists the same sequence under 5 other names. The record is from Rfam by way of RNAcentral.
ACCCUGGUGGCUCAGAUGGUAAAGCAUCUGCCUACAAUGCAGGAGACCCAGGUUCAAUCCCUGGGUUGGGAA